This 253-nucleotide ribosomal RNA is filed under the name uncultured bacterium. RNAcentral's name for it is "partial 16S ribosomal RNA". It matches the Rfam family "Bacterial small subunit ribosomal RNA", at positions 524 to 776 of the family's 1533-position model. The record is from RNAcentral.
UACGGAGGGGGCUAGCGUUGUUCGGAAUUACUGGGCGUAAAGCGCGCGUAGACGGCUAUUCAAGUCAGAGGUGAAAGCCUGGAGCUCAACUCCAGAACUGCCUUUGAAACUGGAUAGCUAGAAUCAUGGAGAGGUCAGUGGAAUUCCGAGUGUAGAGGUGAAAUUCGUAGAUAUUCGGAAGAACACCAGUGGCGAAGGCGGCUCACUGGACUGGUAUUGACGCUGAGGUGCGAAAGCGUGGGGAGCAAACAGG